AGACCAGGGCUGGCGCGUGUGAGCCCUGGGUUCCAUCGCAGCAUUGCAGAAAAAAAAAAAAAAAUAACUUGCUCAAGACUGAGUAAGUGGUAAAGGCAGGACUAGAAUUCAGGCCACCUAAUUCUUCAGUAUUUGUUUUGUUUUAUUUUGUUUCAGAGUUCUUGCAUGAAUAAAAAAUAUGUAACUGUUAUGAGAAUCCAUCAUUAUUUGUAAAACCAAUCUCCUCUGAAUGGACACUGUUAUUCCCAGCUGAACAUGCUGUUGGAAGGAAGACCCCACUGGAGGAGGCCCUUCUGUGAUGAUGUUCUUGCCGUCGGGCCUGCCGAUCAUGGACCUAACCCUCUGAAAUCGUGAGCCACAUAAACCUUUUCUUUAAGUUGCACAUGUCAGAUAUUUUGUCCCAGCAGCGGGAGCGCCGGUGUGUACCACGGUGCUCAGCUUGAUACACAUUUCAUUGUUUUCACCAUUUAGCUAUGACAAAUGAUGUUGCCAUAUGCAUAGGUGUACAGUUUUUAUUUGGAAGUUUUUUUUCAGUCCUCUUGGGACACACCUACUAGUGGAAUUGCUGGGCUUCUUUAGCCUCUAUCCUUUCUGCUUCAAUGAUGUAGAAGGUUCCAGUUUCCUCACAUCCUUGUCAACACCUGUCAUCGCCUGUCUUCUUCUUUUUGUUGCUAUUUUUUUUCUUCUUCCAUUUAUUUUUGGUACGGGAAUCGAACUUGGGACAUUGUGCUUGUGAGGCAGGUGGCAGAAUCACUGAGCUUAAUAUCCGGCCCUCCAUUUAUUUAUUCACUUAUUCGUGCAUGCAUGCAUGCAUACAAGCAUUCAUUUGCUUUUUU
Heterocephalus glaber (naked mole-rat) is the source of this 836-nucleotide long non-coding RNA. The record is from Ensembl. NCBI's taxonomy places the organism in Eukaryota, Metazoa, Chordata, Mammalia, Rodentia, Bathyergidae.